AACCUCUGCCUCCUGGAUUCAAGCAGUUCUACUGCCUCAGCCUUCCGAGUAGCUGGGAUUACAGAUUUCGUGUGAAGUGCAGAAGCACCGUCGUAGAAGCAGAGAAGCAGAGAUGCAGAGGCAGCACUGGUGACUCACACAUGGAGAGCUGGAGUUCUUGGUCUAGUGGGAUAAGCUGACAUGGACAUCAUUUCAGUGCAGCGGAAGCAAGUCUAUCAUCUCUUUUGGAUGGAGUGUGGCCAGCCCUGCCUUG
Long non-coding RNA from Piliocolobus tephrosceles (Ugandan red Colobus), 253 nucleotides. RefSeq lists it as uncharacterized. Lineage: Eukaryota; Metazoa; Chordata; Mammalia; Primates; Cercopithecidae. The record is from RefSeq and is a predicted model, not a curated record. The transcript is spliced from 3 exons.